GGUUGGUCCAAGUGCAGUGGUGUUUACAACUAAUUGAUCACAACCAGUUACAAAUUCCUUUGUUCUUUCUCCACUCCCACUGUUUCACUUAACCAGGCUUAA
Molecule: Y RNA, 102 nt
Filed under: Propithecus coquereli (Coquerel's sifaka)
Lineage: Eukaryota; Metazoa; Chordata; Mammalia; Primates; Indriidae
Description: Y RNA (ENSPCOG00000003696.1)
Rfam family: Y RNA
About the family: Y RNAs are components of the Ro ribonucleoprotein particle (Ro RNP), in association with Ro60 and La proteins. The Y RNAs and Ro60 and La proteins are well conserved, but the function of the Ro RNP is not known.
Source: Rfam by way of RNAcentral